This 685-nucleotide ribosomal RNA is filed under the name Trichoderma harzianum. Its description in RNAcentral is "eukaryotic LSU rRNA". The stretch from base 293 to 446 matches the Rfam family "5.8S ribosomal RNA". Lineage: Eukaryota; Fungi; Ascomycota; Sordariomycetes; Hypocreales; Hypocreaceae. The record is from RNAcentral.
GACUACACNCACCCUCCCCCGCCCCCUUGGAAGUAAAACGUCGUAACAAGGGUCUCCCGUUGGUGAACCAGCGCGGAGGGAUCCAUUACCGGAGUUUACAACUCCCCAAACCCCAAUGUGAACGUUACCAAACUGUUGCCUCGGCGGGAUCUCUGCCCCGGGUGCGUCGCAGCCCCGGACCAAGGCGCCCGCCGGAGGACCAACCAAAACUCUUAUUGUAUACCCCCUCGCGGGUUUUUUUAUAAUCUGAGCCUUCUCGGCGCCUCUCGUAGGCGUUUCGAAAAUGAAUCAAAACUUUCAACAACGGAUCUCUUGGUUCUGGCAUCGAUGAAGAACGCAGCGAAAUGCGAUAAGUAAUGUGAAUUGCAGAAUUCAGUGAAUCAUCGAAUCUUUGAACGCACAUUGCGCCCGCCAGUAUUCUGGCGGGCAUGCCUGUCCGAGCGUCAUUUCAACCCUCGAACCCCUCCGGGGGGUCGGCGUUGGGGAUCGGCCCUGCCUCUUGGCGGCGGCCGUCUCCGAAAUACAGUGGCGGUCUCGCCGCAGCCUCUCCUGCGCAGUAGUUUGCACACUCGCAUCGGGAGCGCGGCGCGUCCACAGCCGUUAAACACCCAACUUCUGAAAUGUUGACCUCGGAUCAGGUAGGAAUACCCGCUGAACUUAAGCAUAUCAAUAAGCGGAGGAAAAC